Schistosoma mattheei is the source of this 63-nucleotide non-coding RNA. The record is from Rfam. NCBI's taxonomy places the organism in Eukaryota, Metazoa, Platyhelminthes, Trematoda, Strigeidida, Schistosomatidae.
AUUCAACUGAAGAGUCCCAAAAUAGGACGAAACGCGCGUCAAACUAUCUGUCGUUGCUUGAAG